GACGAACGCUGGCGGCGUGCUUAACACAUGCAAGUCGAACGGAAAGGCCCUGCUUUUGUGGGGUGCUCGAGUGGCGAACGGGUGAGUAACACGUGAGUAACCUGCCCUUGACUUUGGGAUAACUUCAGGAAACUGGGGCUAAUACCGGAUAGGAGCUCCUGCUGCAUGGUGGGGGUUGGAAAGUUUCGGCGGUUGGGGAUGGACUCGCGGCUUAUCAGCUUGUUGGUGGGGUAGUGGCUUACCAAGGCUUUGACGGGUAGCCGGCCUGAGAGGGUGACCGGCCACAUUGGGACUGAGAUACGGACCAGACUCCUACGGGAGGCAGCAGUGGGGAAUAUUGCACAAUGGGCGGAAGCCUGAUGCAGCAACGCCGCGUGCGGGAUGACGGCCUUCGGGUUGUAAACCGCUUUCGCCUGUGACGAAGCGUGAGUGACGGUAAUGGGUAAAGAAGCAACGGCUAACUACGUG
RNAcentral lists this ribosomal RNA (468 nucleotides) under uncultured bacterium. Its description in RNAcentral is "partial 16S ribosomal RNA". It matches the Rfam family "Bacterial small subunit ribosomal RNA", at positions 28 to 507 of the family's 1533-position model. The record is from RNAcentral.